GAGUUAAGACAUCCAAAGUAAAGCUUCUAACUUUAACUUUAAGCAGUGUAACCCUGUUUUUAGCUCU
Molecule: transfer RNA, 67 nt
Filed under: Trigonopterus ancora
Lineage: Eukaryota; Metazoa; Arthropoda; Insecta; Coleoptera; Curculionidae
Description: tRNA-Ser
Source: RNAcentral